RNAcentral lists this ribosomal RNA (444 nucleotides) under Triticum aestivum (bread wheat). RNAcentral describes it as "partial small subunit ribosomal RNA". Lineage: Eukaryota; Viridiplantae; Streptophyta; Magnoliopsida; Poales; Poaceae. The record is from RNAcentral.
AUGGCGCGGCGGUCCUCCGCCCUCGCGCACCCAUACUCGCACGACGACCGCGUCCUCCACAAGAUGGUAAGCGCCCCGGCCGCUCACCCGCAUUUCCUCGGCAGCAGGGCUACCCUUGCGGACCAUGCGGCAGCGGUGACGCUCUUCGGGCACCCCCGCGGUCAGCUGAGCCUGGCCAUCUAUGAGGACACCCGGGCGCCACCGGCGUUCCUCGUCGAGCUGCCCAUGCUCGCGGCCGGGCUGCACAGGGGGGGUGACCACAGGACCUUGAGGCUGGCGCUGGAGAGCGACACCCGCAGCGCGCGGCCACCACUCCUGUCCAACGACGAGCGGCACGUGCUGCAGCUGCUGGGCGUCGGGGUGCUGCUGCCGCCGCCUGCUGACGGCUCCAAUUGCCCCGACGGCGUCCUACUCCCGUGUCUGCUUAGGAUUGAAGAGUGCUGA